RNAcentral lists this ribosomal RNA (175 nucleotides) under Staphylococcus hominis. RNAcentral describes it as "partial 23S ribosomal RNA". It matches the Rfam family "Bacterial large subunit ribosomal RNA", at positions 2751 to 2925 of the family's 2925-position model. Lineage: Bacteria; Bacillati; Bacillota; Bacilli; Caryophanales; Staphylococcaceae. The record is from RNAcentral.
AUGUAUGGACGGGAUAAGUGCUGAAAGCAUCUAAGCAUGAAGCCCCCCUCAAGAUGAGAUUUCCCAACUUCGGUUAUAAGAUCCCUCAGAGAUGAUGAGGUUAAUAGGUUCGAGGUGGAAGCGUGGUAACACGUGGAGCUGACGAAUACUAAUCGAUCGAAGACUUAAUCAAUUU